AGAGAAACCAGUAUGCUGUGUGCAUGAAAAAUGCUCAUCAUCUAACCUUUUAUUUGUUCUGAUUUUUUUUUUAUUUUUCUUUUUUUUUUUCCCUGCAGAUCACCACAGAGCAGUUGUAAACGAAUGACAUGUUCUGGAUGUUCAUAUAAGUUAGGAAAGCACUAUCCCAUUCUCUCUUAAGACGCUUUGAUCCAUGAAGGGCAAGAAAGAGAAUAGCUGCAGGCAGUAAAAAUAUCCUGAUUCCUCUAAACUGUGCAAAGUAAAAGGCCUUCUCUAGAGAAAUCAUCAUGUAUUUCAUGAGUAUCCAGUGGAGGCCAUCUUGGGUGGAUUCACAAUGCAUUUGCCUUCACCUACCAGCACAUGCAAAGGAGCUCUCAAGAGGAGCUCUCAUCUGGUCACAAGUAUUCCACUCUGUAUGUUCAAAAAUAUCCAGAUCACUCUAGGAGCAUCACCUGGUUAGUGCUUAUGAAAAAAAAUGCAUAUGCACAGUUGUAUGCUUAUUUUUUUGUAGGUGAGUACAUAUGUCUAUUUUUGGUCCAUUCUAUAGCAUAACAGAAAGAGCUU
This 564-nucleotide long non-coding RNA is filed under the name Gallus gallus (chicken). The record is from RNAcentral. Lineage: Eukaryota; Metazoa; Chordata; Aves; Galliformes; Phasianidae.